UGCGAGACCGAUAGCGAACAAGUACCGUGAGGGAAAGAUGAAAAGAACUUUGAAAAGAGAGUUAAAGAGUACCUGAAACUGCUGAAAGGGAACCGAAUCGUAUCCAGUGUCUAUAAUCCAUGGCAUAUUUCAUUGGCGAGUGAGUGCGUGCAGCGUUUUGGAAGUGGUUUUCCGCUCCUGUCGUUGUUGUGCAUUUGCUUGCUGGUGCCCUGUGCUGUGGUGGGACGUCAGAGUCAGUUUGUAUGUUGCGGGAAAUGGUUAUUGGGGAGGUAGGUCACUUCGGUGGCUGUUAUAUCCUGGUAACUAGUCGUCGUGGCUGAGACUGAGGUGCCUACAAUGUGCUUUCGAGUGUGCGGGAUUCUCGUGUGGCUGUUUGCUUUGAUAGCUUGCUAUGUUGGUGAAUAAGUCGUGCGAUUGAGACUUGUAUUAACUUGUUGCUGUUCGGGACUUUGAA
Molecule: ribosomal RNA, 454 nt
Filed under: uncultured Oomycota
Lineage: Eukaryota; Oomycota
Description: LSU rRNA
Rfam family: Eukaryotic large subunit ribosomal RNA
Source: RNAcentral